GACGAACGCUGGCGGCGUGCUUAACACAUGCAAGUCGAACGGAAAGGCCCUGCUUUUGUGGGGUGCUCGAGUGGCGAAAGGGUGAGUAACACGUGAGUAACCUGCCCUUGACUUUGGGAUAACUUCAGGAAACUGGGGCUAAUACCGGAUAGGAGCUCCUGCUGCAUGGUGGGGGUUGGAAAGUUUCGGCGGUUGGGGAUGGACGCGCGGCUUAUCAGCUUGUUGGUGGGGUAGUGGCUUACCAAGGCUUUCACGGGUCGCCGGCCUGUGAGGGUGACCGGCCACAUUGGGACUGAGAUACGGACCAGACUCCUACGGGAGGCAGCAGUGGGGAAUAUUGCACAAUGAGCGGAAGCCUGAUGCAGCAACGCCGCGUGCGGGAUGACGGCCUUCGGGUUGUAAACCGCUUUCGCCUGUGACGCAGCGUGAGUGACGGUAAUGGGUAAAGAAGCACCGGCUAACUACGUG
RNAcentral lists this ribosomal RNA (468 nucleotides) under uncultured bacterium. RNAcentral describes it as "partial 16S ribosomal RNA". It matches the Rfam family "Bacterial small subunit ribosomal RNA", at positions 28 to 507 of the family's 1533-position model. The record is from RNAcentral.